CUGUGUGUUGCUCUGGGUAAGACGUUGGCUAAAUGCAUAAUUACAAAUGUAAAUAAAUAACCUGAAUCAUCUGAACGCUCAGCUCCACCUUACCACCUGACAAAUAUGACGAUGCUGCCAUAAUCAAACACAUCAUUUUACGCCUGCCUUUUAAGAAGCCUCACAAGGACUCGUCUGUUCAAAGAGCUUCUAAAGGCUGUAAAAAAAUAAAUAAAAUAAAGCCAUGGAAAGUUGUGCAUUGGUGGGGCCCACUCAGUCUGCACACCCAGCCAGGUCGGGACACAAGGACAUGUGUUUCCUAGUGGAGAUUCCACAGAGAGAGAGAGAGAGCGAGAGAGAGCUGUUUAUGAGCCAGAGUGGUGACUCUGGCUUAUGUGCAGUCCUUAUUAAGAGACUUGAUAUUUUAGACUUCAGCUGAGUUUCUGCAGAGGCACAUGUCUUAUUAAGCCAGGGCAUCAGUCGUCAUGCAUUGUACUUUUUUUUAUAAAGCACUUAGCAGAAACACAAACUACACAGACUUUUUUCCUCUUGAUCCAUCGGGCACGGUUGUUCUUUAUUUUUUUUGUAUAAAACGCUGACUUUUUCAACAGAACAUAUGAACAUGUGGAAGUUUUUACGUGACCGUGUGCAGACACACACGUCUGCACCGUUUGGUCCUCACAAAAAUGCCUGACAUAACCUCCACAAACAUUUGCCACAGUUAGGUAUAGCUUCUGCUGCCAGUAAACCCAACAUGCAGACAAUGUUCUCAGGUUCCAGUGUUUGUGCUGACCUCAUGUUCCCCGGGGUGUCGCUGCGAGGAUAUCGCCGCCUCACAUCGAUACAAGUCCCUCUAUUUUAGGCGAUUCCAGCAGCCAAGUAUGAAUGGCCUUGUGCUUUUGUUUAGCCUCGCCUAAUUUAAACCACAGUCUGUCAGCGGAGCAGUGACAGCUCUCAAUGUGGCAGGGAUUUUGUCCCAUCAACUGGUUUCUCAGCAGAAGAGACGGGACACUGUGGACGGCUGCUGAUCGGAACACCACAUGGUACGCGGUUAAAAUAGCGGAGCGGGCUUUAAACACGAGUGCAUAUCUAACCGAUAAAUGAAAUAGCUACAGCUGGAUGCUAAAUGUAGGACAAAAUUUACGUUAGAUUGUAGAUUGUACAUUGUUGGACAAAGCAUGAACUGAACUGUAAAUAAUAAAUGCUAGGUGUUUCUAAUGCUAUAUGUCAGUGAUUAUCAACUGGCAGCUCACGGUCCAAUCUAAGUUGCAACUGGAUUCCAAAAUUGUAAGGAUCACAAUAUCAGGUGUUCCGUAUACAUAAUAAACAUAUAUAAACAAUAAACAUCAAAUAAUAAUAUUAGAAAAAUGUGACCUUUAUUUCAUUUUAUUUGAGUCCGGAUGCCGGAAAAAUAGUCAGUAAAAUACAACUACGAAGGUUUGUCAGCGUUUAUACUUUUUAAUAAAGGUAUUGAUUUAACUUGACAAAUGUAAGUGGGAGGCAAAUUGAAGCUGAAAGCAAAGGAAACCCGACUGUGCACAACUGCAGCCUAUCACAUACGUAUAUUUAAAAUUCAGCUUGGAAAUGUAGGAAAGUUUCUGUGUGGUUCUGUCUGAGAGAUGAAACCAGGACCUGGGCCUGUGUGUGUGUGUGUCUGUGUCUGUGUGUGUGCACGAGUGCGACAGAUCUGGCUGGAAAUGACAGCUCUUUGCUCCUAUAAAGGCAAAGCUCUGGUUUGGGAGAUGUCUGAUUUUUAUGGACUGGAAAGUGGGACAGUUUAAAACAAAUAUCGUCUCUUUCUCUUGGACAGGAGCGUAGAUGGAAAAUCCAACCGGAGCCAAAUUGUUGUCUGUGUCUCGAUGUAGCAAAGUGCAGCCACUGUGUGUCAACAUCGCAAGCAAGUGUAGGGAUGCAGGUGAAUUAGUCCACUUCCCAGGAGGACUGCUGCGGCCCUUUGAAACGAUCCUUUGUGAAUGUGUGCAGUAGAGUUAGUUGGCUGAGGGGAUUUUGUUUCAGGUGAAACUACAGAAAUACACUUGGCAGACAGGUUGACCACUGGUCACUGGUCAGGUGACUCGCUGUAAGUGUUGAAUAUUCCUGGCAGUUUGGUCAAUGCACAGGUGUGUGUAAUAAUGGUAAUCAAUAGAUCAGCUCAUUUUUAUUCCACCUGUCUGUCUGUCUUGAUGGCGUGAUCAAACUCACAGGAAGAUAUUUGCAACAUCAUGCAUGGGCGAUGAGCAGGAGAUCUGCAGCAAUUGGUUAUUUUUUAAACUUGAAUAAUCUAUUGAUUAUGAUUGUGAAUCUAUUGAGUGAUGUCAUCUAUUGUUUUGUCCUCAGACUGUAAUCCAGAUUAAUUACUUGCCAGAGAAAGGCCAAAAAAUACAGAGAUUGCAGAGAUUUUUCUGAAAGCAGCAGCAUAACACAGAAGACAACCUAUGAUUUCACAGUAACACCAGUGUGUCAGGUGUUUGGUUGGGUGCAUCCAUACAAGCACUGUAGGUAAUGGCAACACAAUAUAAAAAGGAUAUUCAUUCUCCCCUGCUGGUACAGUGUUUGCUGCUGCAGUGUAAUCCUUUUAUCGUCAUUUCUCAGUUGAUAGUUAUCGGGCCCCACAAACUCCAUGAUUCAAAUCUGCUGUGCGAGCCUCAAACUGCACCUGUCGUCCAGCGUCACGCUCCUUUAUUUUUAUAUCCAUAUUAACGCUUCUGUAAACAAUUCAACUUGAUGAUGGAGGUGAGGGUGAAGGGGAGUGCGGAGGAUUUAGAGCUUGUCAACAGUUGUCAGAGGGAGCGCUCUAACUCUCGGGGUCUGUUUUCUUUUGGGCCGUCUGUCUCUUCUCCCGCUGCACUGUUAAUUAAUACCCAGGCAUCUCCGUCUGACAUCCAGUGGCCCGCUUGGGUUUCACUGGCGGUGAACAACAAGUUGUUUGGCUUCACGGUGAAGUGGUUUCUGUCUCCCUGCUGCUGCGCUGUGCCUGUGACCACACUGUGGUAUUUGGAGAGAACUGUAGAUGUGGUCAGAACUCCAACAUUAACAAAACACAGCAUUGCACUGGCUUAACUCAAUUGUACAUUUCAAUCACACCGAGUCCUCUUGCACACUAUUUCGUCAUCCGUUUCUGAGUCGUAGGACGUGACAGCUACUUCUCAAACUUUUGUUUUUCUUUCAGCUUGGAUAGGUAAAUGGCCAUGUUAAUAUGUUGUCAUCAAGGACAAAGAUGAAUUUGAACAGAAAUUCAAACACUUGUUUUUUGUGUACUCCAUUAUACUAGUAUGGACACUUCUUUGUUUCUUUUCUAAUAAUAUGGAAUGAACUGGAAAAGUAAAUCAAAUGAUAAUAAAAAAAAUAGGGAUAAUUAAAUUCAGCCAGCUGAACAGAAAGUGAGCAGAGCUUUAACACCAAUGUUAAAUACUUGUAAUUAAAACUGCAUUUCUGCUUUAUCUUAUUUACGGUACUAAUAUCGACUGGGUCACAGCGCCACCUGCUUAAAGAAGGGAGGGAAUUAAUUUACUAUGAUGCAGUUUCUUUUUUUCCAAAGAAUAAUCCUGUGUACUCAUAAGUGCAGAUGUGAGGGUUCGAUGCUGCCGUCCCUCAGAUUAAUCCCAGUUGAUAUAGUGUUUCGUGUGAUGCGUCAAAUGUCAAAGAUCUUGUUUCAUUCAGUUUUGACACGAGUGAAGACCUCAUGCUUUGCGACUUUGUUAAGCAGCAGUGAUUUUCAGUGACAGCGAUGUGGGGAAUUCAGCGACUAAGUCCCCUGACUAACCAGACCCUAAACAGAGAUCUAUUCUCGGCUCGAGACGAUUUAACACAUCUGGUUGGUUUUAUAGCGAGAAGGUGAUAUCCCGUCUUUUUUAUUGGCGCAGUGCUCUGUCUUGACGUACGGGUUCAGGGGCCAAGCACCAGGACCCCCGGUGGAAGCGGCAAGCUGCUUCUGUCAGCAGGGAGUCACGGUGAGGCGGAUUGUGGUGAUGGUCAGAUGAAUGAACCACAUGUAAUCGAUUUGGCAGUGCCGAGAAGAUUUGGAAAGAAAAAAAAAACAGUUGGAUGAAGCUGCUUGUUAUGUAAGAGGUGAAACAUCUUCGGACAGGCUGUUCCUGUAAUAAGACAAAUUUAGGCGUGCUCCCUGAAGCAGGAUGUCUGUCUGGCUCGUACCUCAUGAUGUGUUGUAGCUAUAAAGUCGUCUGUGUGUUAUGUCUAUUAGAUAAUUCUUCUGUUUUUCUGUUCUUCUUUGGUUUUUUCUUCUGCGGCCUAAUUGUCUGCAGUUACGACCAUAAUCCCACAGAUCUCCGACAAAGUCUCGAGGGGUCAUCAUAGGUCAAAUGCACAGGUCAGAUCUGGUGGAGGUUAUGAAACACAGUGAUCUGUUCAACCUUCAAGGCCGUUUGCCUUUUUUAGUGCUGGGCGAGUUGUAGUCACUGUGAAAUCACGCCCUGGCAGUUUAUGAAAGACAAUCUGAGUCAUUAUUGUCAACACGGCGGUUUAAAGUUAGACAGAGGACAAAUGCUUUCUUAAUGAAGUGGUGUUGGGGUGUUUCUAAAGCUGAUUCACACGGUGUCUUAAAUAAAGACGGUAAACCAUGAAGUCAUGUCUUGACCCAAUGGCCCUCUUUGUGUCUCUGGUGUCGUUUCCAGACCCUCUCACUUUAACCCAAGCUCCAAGACGUGGUUCCAAAGUCGUGGUUCAGCUUUGCUCUCCCGAGACACACCAACAUUGCACAAGUGUGUCUGAGUGAAGUCUUAUUUUAGCUCAAACGUGACCUGGUUAUACUUGAGUUGGCCUUAAAUGGUAACUUAAAUAAACCCCAAGCUGGUCCAACACACAGAGUCCUGUAGUCCAACUCAGCUGAUAAGGCUUUAUUAUAAUAUUCUCACAUCAUUCAUGUUCAUAAUAUCAUCUCAGGUUGUCAAGGCAUUUCCAUUUAUAUGGACUGUUAAUCAGGAGAGGUGUAAACUGUCAGUCAGUCUCCUGAAACCACCGGGCUGAAGAAAAACAGACUUGGAAAAAAUAAUCUUUUUUUGUAAACAAUUAUUUCACGGACAAUCUUUGUUUAGUGGGCGUGUCCUCGUAAACUUUAGAUGACUUGAUAAUCUGAGGGUACAGCCUUACAGGGGGAGUCAGUAUUUAUAAACAUCCAAAAAUAAUCGGGAACAUGUACUGGACCGUUCUAGAACAAUCCUUGGGCCUUAACCCAUACGCUGAGAAAAUAUCAUUGAUUUAUUUUUUGUAGUUCUGCUCACAAACUGACGAGGUUGACUGUGAUUCAUAACAGUGAUGAGAACACCACUUCAAGCCCACAUUAUAAAUCAACAAAUAUGUUCAAUACAAACACACAAGUGUAAAGAAUUCAUGACAUCAUAACAAGACUUACAUCUGUUGAAAAGGACUAAAGGUGGACGUAAUUGCAGAAGUUGUUUUUAUAAUCUUGUCAUGAAAAUCAAGUGUCUGGUUGAGAGGCUUCCCUUUUAUUAAUCACAUGGAGGGACAUUAACCAAUCACAGGAGGGCUUAGGGUUAGUGGACUUUUUUCAGUACAUUCAACGACUUCAGUCACUGGUAAUUUAAUGAGAUGUGCUGUGAAUGGAAGGUCAUUUUGGUUGGUAGAUUUAAAUGUAUCAUUAUAUCUACGACCAACAUUUGUUGUAUAUUUUCCAUUGUCGACCGACUCUGUGAUCUUUCCCUCGGCUCAUAUUGAGCCUGGCGCUGCCUAAUUCCUACCCGUGCUGUUUGUGUACCUUUGAAAACACCAGUGCAACACUCGAGGGGAUUUUCCUCUGCAGAUUAUAGUCAGUCACCUGCACUGUAAACGUCUCUUUCCUGGCAAACCCACCAGAGUUGCACUAAUCACUAGCAGAGAGAAAAGCCGGUGAGGUCCCGGUGUUCUUGCGUGAGAGCAGCAUGUUUGUUACCUCAACAUUUGCAGGUCAGUCACGGCCAUCUACUGCUAUCUGAGUUGCACUGAUAAAAACGUGCUCUUUAUCUCGAGGAGGACUUCCAUGGUUUCAAUUUGUUCAUUAAUACAUUUGGAAUGUUUCUGCCUUGGGGUCUGCCACCCACACACAGAAGGUCAGGGUUGCAUUGGUCGAGUUAGUUUGUCGUAUCAGUGAGUCACGUUGAAGCACAACUAGUACUAGUCACAUACAGGUCCUCAUCUCCCAUGGAGGCAACUACUUUGUAAAAUCUAUCCUUUGUUUGACAGAUUUUGGAUUGUGUUUGUACUUAGAAGAGUUGUGUUUUUAUGUUUUAUAUAGAAUUACAUGAUGAAUGUUACAGAGAUGAAGCACUAGACUGUAGGUGGACAGAUUGAUAAGUCUGUGCUCUCAGUUAUGAGUGGUUGUUCUAAUGAAGUUUCACCUACUGUCUUAGCAUGACCGCCUUGAUGCAACCUGUCUUAGGGUUUUUUGGGUUAGGAGGUGAGGGUUGGGUGAAUUAGAACUGGGGCCUACAGCGAGGCAGGCAAGAUUCCUUCCAUGGGAGCCCCCAUAAAUUGAUUGCUCAAGAAAGUAUAAAUAAGGAGUGACCCCACAGUCCUCAACUUUUACCAAAGCAGUGUUUCUCUUUUUUCAGAGUCAACCUGAUAAAUUCGGUCACAUCACAGUCCACAGUCCACAUCGGCGUUAACGUCCAUUUUUAUGGUGGUUAAUUAGUCGCACAGAGCUGCAACGUGUCUGUGUGACCAGCCAAAGAAGAAACCAGACACCAUGCAGCCUCCCAGUAUAACCCAGACUGGCAGAUCCAGCACCGACACACUCACACGUACACAGAAUAACUGGGCUGACCUUGAACAACCGGGCGGUCGACUAUAAAACAACGUCACCGCUGGAUGGAGGCGCACCAGCGAUGUCCUCACAUCUGUGUCGUUGGAUGUUCUUUCUCUGUUGUGGAGAUGGUUUAAUGCUGUAUUUGGUCCCGUGCUGGCCAGAGUAGUGAUGAUGAAACCCUCUCUACUGUCACAGUGUUUGCCUUUCUUUAACGUUGACAUUCGGUGAUCUCAUUCUUACUCCGCGCCUGUUCGCGGACCGACUCCUUUGUGGCCGUCUGCACUCACCGCCUUGUCUAGAGAUUCAAACAAAGACGCUCAGCAGAGAGCCAGCCAUAAUGCUCACUGGUAUAUUUAAAAGAUGUUUUGUCGUAUAACGCACCUCUAAUUUCAGUGAAGCUCAGAUUGAAACGUGGCUUCUUCACGAUGACUGUCUUGGGAUUAAGUUACAUAGGAUUUGAUAGACUGCUGCCCGGCAACAUGUGGUAAACAAAUAAGCCCGCUGCAACUGUCAUUACAUUUUGUUUGCGAUGUGGACAAACGCUGAUUGGUGCAUGAAGGCAUUGCUAAUGACAUCACCUUUUUCCAAGAUGUCUUUGCAGAUUCUCUUUCAUCCAGGUCGGAGUUCUCGACACACUUUUUCCUACCUUUACUUCACUCUGGGUUUUGUGUGCAGAAAGCUGCAAAUCUUCCUGUGGGUGGCUCCACAAAUGUCUGCAGUAGGCAAUAAGGCUGGAUUGUCCUUGUGUCACAAUCAGUGACAUCCUCAGGCUCUAAGUAAAGAGCAGCGGAGAACUGGAAGGUGACUGUGUUAGAAAAGGUUAGAAUGGAGUGGAGGACGGGGUUUUUCCCCCAGAGAUCAACACAACGGAACACAAGGCCAAUGUCAUAGUUUCCAUACGUGCACAGACGUCUGCCUGAUGUAAAUGUUGUCAUCAGGCCCCGUCUGAACACUGCAGGCCGUGCAACAGAGAAGAACACUGUGUCUGUUGUACCUGUCCCUG
Long non-coding RNA from Cynoglossus semilaevis (tongue sole), 7739 nucleotides. RefSeq lists it as uncharacterized. The transcript has 4 exons. Lineage: Eukaryota; Metazoa; Chordata; Actinopteri; Pleuronectiformes; Cynoglossidae. The record is from RefSeq and is a predicted model, not a curated record.